Long non-coding RNA from Austrofundulus limnaeus, 1193 nucleotides. RefSeq lists it as uncharacterized. Lineage: Eukaryota; Metazoa; Chordata; Actinopteri; Cyprinodontiformes; Rivulidae. The record is from RefSeq and is a predicted model, not a curated record. The transcript has 3 exons.
CAGCAGCAGAAAUAAUCCUUCAUGUCUGUAAAAUUACCCAUGAGCCUUUGCAAACAGAGAUCUGAACCGAGAGCCAAAGACUGAGUGACACCUGGCUCAACUUCUGUCUCGUUUGCUCUGUAAAACUGGAUGUAUGGCAAGCAGUUUUACUAUAUAAUGUGAACCCCCUCAGAAUCACGUUUCAUGGUUUACGGACUCAGUCUUGUGGAUUUUUUACAGUACAGUGUGCCCACGUUCCACCUGGAGUGUAACACUUCAGCUACCUGUUCACUGUUACAGUACUGUGUGGAGAUGCUAACUGCUAACAGUUUAGCUCUCGCCUUUUUUAAAGUUCUUGCCACAUUAAGAUGCCACCCAAAUGCGCUGCACCUUUUAAGACUUCCUCCAGUAAAUCGAAGCAUAAGAAGGUUUCAAAGAUGCUCCAGGAGGAGGUUGAAUUACUUAGAAAAAACUAAAUUAUUACGGCAUUGAGGAAAUUUGGAAGAUGUGUAGGCGGGACAUUGGAAUAUGUGUAGGCAGGACUUUAGAAGAUGUGUAGGCGGGACGUUGGAAGAUGUGUAGGCGGGACUUUAGAAUAUGUGUAGGCAGGACUUUAGAAGAUGUGUAGGCGGGACAUUGGAAGAUGUGUAGGCAGGACUUUAGAAGAUGUGUAGGCGGGACGUUGGAAGAUGUGUAGGCGGGACUUUAGAAGAUGUGUAGGCGGGACUUUAGAAGAUGUGUAGGCGGGACUUUAGAAGAUGUGUAGGCGGGACGUUGGAAGAUGUGUAGGCGGGACUUUAGAAUAUGUGUAGGCAGGACUUUAGAAGAUGUGUAGGCGGGACGUUGGAAGACGUGUAGGCGGGACUUUGAAGGCAGUGUGGGCGGGACGUUGGAAGAUGUGUAGGCGGGACUUUAGAAGAUGUGUAGGCGGGACUUUAGAAGAUGUGUAGGCGGGACUUUAGAAGAUGUGUAGGCGGGACUUUAGAAGAUGUGUAGGCGGGACUUUAGAAGAUGUGUAGGCGGGACUUUAGAAUAUGUGUAGGCGGGACUUUAGAAGAUGUGUAGGAGGGACGUUGGAAGAUGUGUAGGCGGGACUCUGAAGGCAGUGUGGGCGGGACUUUUGGAAGAUGUGUAGGCGGGACUUUAGCAUAUCUACUCUGGAAUGGGCAGACCCUGGUUUCAGAAACAAACUCGUCCAUCUUUAUUUCUAUCAG